GGCGGACGCGACGGUACCUUCGCAGGGUCCCGCCCACGGGCGCACCUGCGGGUUCGGCCCACGCAACUGCUAGAUGUGGAACGCUGCGCGGAAAGAUUGUUCAGGGACACUUUUUGAAGGAUGUGGGGGGGGGGAAUGUGCGUGAACAGUAAAGCGCUUGCGUUUUCCGGAACGCAAGAAGAUAAUCAUUACUCGAUUUUACGGAGUACCUUUGAUUCGGGAACCAGCCGCUGGAGAAGUGCAGUCCCCGGAGCGCGCGCUCCCAGCGAGGGCGCAGAGAAGGCAGGAAACAAGCGCCUUGUUCGGGACCCAGCCGCGGACCUGCGUUCAUACUUAGGACCUCAGGCCCAGCACUGGAACGUGUGCUCACCUCUUCUGUCUGCCAGAGAGCGAAGUUACAGCACUGGGCUAUGCUUGGCCGGCAGGAUAGAUCGGUUUUACCAGGUGAUUUCUCCCCAAGAACACCCAUGUGAGAUACCCAGCCCACCUCAGGCUCCCAGGAGGAGGGGAGCUUUUGCUCCAGUUUGUUACAAAGGAAGGGAAAUCACACUGUCUUGCAAGUCACUGACAUCAGACUUCCUGACAAUGCCUGGACCCCUGAGAGGCCAUGGAACUGUGGGUGUCAUCCAGGCCAAGGAUGCUAUGGGGUCACCAUGCCCCACCGUCUACCUGCGCUCUGCUUCAGACAGCUCCUGACCAGACAGGAACCAAGACAAAGGCAGCCCCCAGGUCUGCAGCCGUUGGCCGUCCCUUCCGUCCAGCAUUCUGCAAGCCCCCGAGCGUGCGUGGCGGAAGCUGACUUGUGCACCGAGAGCUACAGAGCCCCACGUCGGUGGAGGUGUACACAGCUCGAGACAGCCCCGUGUCCUGACGGCAGAGUGUGAGGAGCUCGUUGGCGUGACUUCGCAUUCACACUGCGGCCAGCGCUUAAGAAGCUGCCCCACACGAAGCUCCGGUUUGAUAUUAAAGAACAAUCUUUAAUACAUGCUUUCCUUCAGCUGUGGGUCUGAGACCAGAUUGUCUCGUCUGCUUCAUCCAUUCUCACUGUUGUUCCUAAGAAAAUAUCACUCAUCUUGUUUUCGUUUUUUUUUUAAGCAAACAUUUUCAUUAGAUGUUUGUGCCGUGUUAUCACCACAUGUUUUCUCCAGGUCACUGAAAUCAGAUCCACUUUUUCAGGGUCCAGUUAAUAUCCUAGAGCCUUUGAUUUUACUGUUGUUUUUCCACUUUGCUUUUAUUUUACAUCUUUUAUACUUUCAUUUCAUUUUACUUUUCCAUUAUUCUGUCAUUUUCCAUCAUAUCUUAUAGAUCUUCUAAAAAUAAGGGUUUUUUAAAAAGUGAGAUUAUGAUUUACAUUGAUUUUUUUUUGUGAGUGAGUACAGUUGACACACAAUAUUAUUUUUCAUUUGAAAAUGUUAUGUUAUGGGGAGGGGGGGCACCUGGGUGGCUCAGUCGUUAAGUGUCUGCCUUCGGCUCAGGGCGUGAUCCCGGCGUUCCGGGAUCGAGCCCCACAUCGGGCUCCUCCGAUGGGAGCCUGCUUCUCCCUCUCCCACUCGCCCUGCUUGUGUUCCCUCUCUCGCUGGCUGUCUCUCUCUCUCUCAAAUAAAUAAAUAAAAUCUUAAAAAAAAAUGUUAUGU
Long non-coding RNA from Ursus maritimus (polar bear), 1634 nucleotides. Lineage: Eukaryota; Metazoa; Chordata; Mammalia; Carnivora; Ursidae. The record is from Ensembl.